ACGGAGACGUAAUUCCUCAAAUAUAGUGGCGGAGCUAGGUCGUGCUCUAAGCGUAGUAACCAAAUUCUCGCUUCUGAAGCCGGCCCGGGUCSUGCCGUAAAACCCCCUAUAUUUUUCUGGUUGACCUCGGAUCAGGUAGGAAUACCCGCUGAACUUAAGCAUAUCAAUAAGCGGAGGAAAAGAAACCAACAGGGAUUGCCCUAGUAACGGCGAGUGAAGCGGCAACAGCUCAAAUUUGAAAUCUGGCCUUCGGGUCCGAGUUGUAAUUUGCAGAGGAUGCUUUUGGCGCGGUGCCUUCCGAGUUCCCUGGAACGGGACGCCUUAGAGGGUGAGAGCCCCGUACGGUUGGACACCAAGCCUCUGUAAAGCUCCUUCGACGAGUCGAGUAGUUUGGGAAUGCUGCUCUAAAUGGGAGGUAAAUUUCUUCUAAAGCUAAAUACCGGCCAGAGACCGAUAGCGCACAAGUAGAGUGAUCGAAAGAUGAAAAGCACUUUGAAAAGAGGGUUAAAUAGCACGUGAAAUUGUUGAAAGGGAAGCGUUUACGGCCAGACCUUUUCCUGGCGGAUCAUCUGGUGUUCUCACCAGUGCACUUCGCCAGGUUUAGGCCAGCAUCGGCUUCUGUAGGGGGAUAAAAGCAGUGGGAAAGUAGCUCCCUCGGGAGUGUUAUAGCCCUAAGCAUAAUACCC
RNAcentral lists this ribosomal RNA (686 nucleotides) under Sordariomycetes sp. RNAcentral's name for it is "eukaryotic LSU rRNA". The record is from RNAcentral. Lineage: Eukaryota; Fungi; Ascomycota; Sordariomycetes.